UAGAGUUUGAUCAUGGCUCAGGAUGAACGCUAGCGACAGGCUUAACACAUGCAAGUCGAGGGGCAGCGGGGUAGGAAGCUUGCUUUCUGCCGCCGGCGACCGGCGCACGGGUGAGUAACACGUAUGCAACCUGGCCGUGACAGAUGGAUAACCGGGAGAAAUCCCGCCUAAUACAACAUAAUGCCGGGAGGGGACAUCCCCUGCCGGCCAAAGGGGGCAACCCUGGUCAUGGAUGGGCAUGCGGCGCAUUAGGUAGUUGGUGGGGCAACGGCCCACCAAGCCGACGAUGCGUAGGGGUUCUGAGAGGAAGGUCCCCCACAUUGGAACUGAGACACGGUCCAAACUCCUACGGGAGGCAGCAGUGAGGAAUAUUGGUCAAUGGCCGGAAGGCUGAACCAGCCAAGUCGCGUGAGGGAAUAAGGCCCUACGGGUCGUAAACCUCUUUUGCCAGGGAGCAAUGCCGUCCACGUGUGGACGGAAGGAGAGUACCUGGAGAAAAAGCAUCGGCUAACUCCGUGCCAGCAGCCGCGGUAAUACGGAGGAUGCGAGCGUUAUCCGGAUUUAUUGGGUUUAAAGGGUGCGUAGGCGGCCUGCCAAGUCAGCGGUAAAAUUGCGGGGCUCAACCCCGUACAGCCGUUGAAACUGCCGGGCUCGAGUGGGCGAGAAGUAUGCGGAAUGCGUGGUGUAGCGGUGAAAUGCAUAGAUAUCACGCAGAACCCCGAUUGCGAAGGCAGCAUACCGGCGCCCGACUGACGCUGAGGCACGAAAGUGCGGGGAUCAAACAGGAUUAGAUACCCUGGUAGUCCGCACAGU
This 813-nucleotide ribosomal RNA is filed under the name uncultured bacterium. RNAcentral's name for it is "bacterial SSU rRNA". It matches the Rfam family "Bacterial small subunit ribosomal RNA", at positions 1 to 803 of the family's 1533-position model. The record is from RNAcentral.